GUGCUCGCUUCGGCAGCACAUACACUAAAAUUGGAACGAUACAGAGAAGAUUAGCACGGCCCCUGUCACAAGGAUGACACCCAAAUUUGUGAAGCGUUCCAUAUUUAA
Molecule: small nuclear RNA, 108 nt
Organism: Otolemur garnettii (small-eared galago)
Lineage: Eukaryota; Metazoa; Chordata; Mammalia; Primates; Galagidae
Source: Ensembl